UAAGACGGAGGGGGCAAGCGUUGUCCGGACUCACUGGGCGUAAAGGGUCCGUAGGCGGUAGAAUGCGUCGGUGCUGAAAGCGCACGGCUUAACCGAGCGAGGCGUGCCGAUACGAUUCUACUCGAGGCAGGCAGAGGGUGGCGGAAUUCCGGGUGUAGUGGUGAAAUGCGUAGAGAUCCGGAGGAACGCCUGUGGCGCAAGCGGCCACCUGGGCCUGACCUGACGCUGAGGGACGAAAGCGUGGGGAGCAAACCGG
Molecule: ribosomal RNA, 256 nt
Filed under: uncultured archaeon
Lineage: Archaea
Description: partial 16S ribosomal RNA
Rfam family: Bacterial small subunit ribosomal RNA
Source: RNAcentral